CCACCCCAGCUGCGGAGCCGGCGCUUAACCCCUGCGACCUUGCAGAGGUCAGGCUGGAGCGUAAAGGGUGGGUCAUUGCUAGUGAUUGGUGAUGGUUGGAUGUGAAGAAAUACACGACCAUAAUGCUUUGCCGUUUCUGGAGCGUCUUCGUACUGAGGAUCAGAUACGCAGUUUGGAAGUAAGGAACUUCUACCCCGUUCCUAACUCAAUUUAUAUUUAAAUGUAUUGUAGCAGGAACAACUGUCAUACGGAAUGAUGGACUAAACUUCUGCUGGUGAAGAUGGAAGCACAUAAACUCACAAGAUUUACACUCAGGUAUUGGGAAUGAAGCUGAAUCAGGAAGCCAGCAGACAGAAGACUUCACAGAAGAGGGGGUGUUUGACUUCAGCACUGAGAGCAAAGGAUAACAUCAAGCCUUAAAAUCUGGAAAGAACGUACCUCACAGAUUUUUCAUUUUACUAAGCGCUUCAGUGAUGAAACAGUUCAUCCUAAAACACGCCUUCAGAGACCUUUCUUUGAGACAAUAUGUGAUAAUUCUUUUAAAAAAACUUGACCCCCCCAGCUCAAUGAGACAACUCUGUUUAAGAUGGCCUUGCAGAGCCUUAGAAAAGCUCUGGGAAAUGGCCAGACACAUCACCUUGCAAUUCGUGUCAAGGGUUUGGAAUUUAACCUGAGAAGGGUAGGCGCCAUAGGGGGACUUCAAUGAGCAGUGAGGUAAAGAUAUGAGGUAUGUUUAAAUGGAUGAUUCUGUGUGGGGAAGAGAUUACAGAGAGUCAAAUGUGGAGGCAGAGAGAUGGCAAUGAUGGUUUGUACCAAGAUGGAGAUGGGGAGACAGGGCGAGCUUGGUCCUAUAUAUUGAAGACCUAGUUGACAAGAUUUGAAGAUGGAAUGUAAGCAAAGAGGCAUAGAAGUUGACUACUUUUUUUUUUUUUUUUUUUUUUUUUUGCCUAAACAGCUGGGCAAUCAUGAUGGCAUCUAGUGAGAGGGAAUUUGAGAGCAGAGAAAGUUGGAGAUCAGGUUAUGGCAUUGUGUUUGAUUCUGGACAUGCUAAAUCAAAUAUCUAAGCAUUGAUAUCAAGUAAGCAGUCUGGAGUUUGGGGGAGAUGUUGGUGCUAACAUAUACAUUGGGAGCUGUGUAGAGGUAUUUAAAGCCAUGAGACUGGGUAUGAUCUCUUAGGAAGCGAGACAGCAAAGAGAAAAAUUUCUAUGAUUGAGCCCCAGAUCCUCCAGCAUUUAAUCGUCGAAAAAAGAGGUGGAUCCAGCAGAAGAAUAUGAGAAGGGGUGGCCAGGAAGGAGGAGUAAAAUCAGAGGGUGGAAUCCUUGAAGCAAAGUGAAGAAAGUGUUUCAAGAAAGAGGAAGUGCUCAAUUACGUCAGAUGCUACCGACAGUCAGUGAAGCUUUGGUGACCUGGGUCAUGACGCUAAAUGCAGUUGCUUACUGAGUGAUGCGCUGGCACUGGGUUUUAUACCAGAUGAAAACUGAGUUAAUCAUGGGAAAAAUCAGGCAGAGUUCAGGGUGUGCUGGGUUUCAAAUAGCUGGUUUCAGAUCCCAUCCAGAGAGCCCCAGAGAGGGCUGUGAACCAUCAUGCCAAUAGAUACACAGAAACAAACCAGAGGGAAUCAGCUGAAGAUCGCUGUAGUCCUGACUCCUGCCACAUCCUUCUCUGAUGAGAAGACUGUGGGCAUAGAGAGGGUAAAUGCCAUGCUCACUGUGGAGAGCCAGAAUUCAGGCACUCUCUAGUCCCGUGACCGCUGGUUUUUGAGAUGAAGUAUCUCACACAGUACUUGUGGGACAUAUGGCUGUUAUUAAAUGCUGGGCGUCUCCUAGUUUCUGAGAUGGUACACCAGGGAAAUCCUUCAAAAACAUUACCGGAAUUGCGUUUUUGGCCCUACAAUGACAGCGAUGAGAUGAGACCCCCAAAAACAAAGGCACAAGAAGGCUUUACGGAGGCUACGGCUGGAGCCGAAAAGAGACACAGCACUGACGGAGGAUACUUAAUGUAGUCUCCUGGAACAGAGGGGGGACCCUGCUUAAACAGACAAAACCCAGGUUCCCUCUGGGCCCAGUAUGCUAAGGAGAGAAAGGGAAAGAAAAAUGCCUCAUCUUGAUUGGUUGGAAGGGCCUCGUCCUGAUUGGUGGAUAUUAGUGGCAACUCAGGCAGCCCAUUGUUGAGUUUUGGAGCUGAGGUCCUCUGGUUUAUGUCCAGCUCCUACAUGGGGCUCAUCCUGGCUGCAUCCUGAUUGUGCUCUGUAGCAGAAGUGGUUAAAAAAUAUUUUUUUAUGUUUAUUUCUGAGAGGAAGACAGAGCAUGAGUGGGGGAGGGGCAAAGACAGAGAGGGAGACACAGAAUCCGAAGCAGGCCCCAGGCUCUGAGCUGUUAGCACAGAGCCCUACAUGGGGCUUGAACUUGUGGAGUGUGAGAUCAUGACCUGAACCGAAGUGCAGCCACCCAGAGGCCCUUGUAGGAGAGGUGGUUUAAUAACAGCCAACAGGCAACGCCCCGGGUGCGUAAUGUUUUUCACUUGGGGCUCGUUCCCAUGGUCCCUGUCUCCAAAGCUGGAUUAGAAACUACCUGGCAGGGGUGCCUGAGUGGCUUAGUAGGUUAAGCUUUCGACUUUGGCUCAGGUCAUGAACUCAGGGUUCAUGAGUUCCAGCCCUGCAUGGGUCUCUCUGGUCUUUCUGCUGUCCACACAGAGCCCUCUUGGGAUCCUCUCUCCCUCUCUCAAAAAUAAGUAAACAUUGAAAAAAGAAACCAUCUGGUGACUGAAGGGAAAUUGACCACCCCUGGUCCUGACUGGGGAGCUUCACCACCGGGGAGAGGAUUGGGGGUGCUGAAGGGUGCGUACACCCUCAUGACGCCAGGAUCUGCUUGAAUCCAGCUGGAAGCAAACCAUUCUUCCCUUCUUUUUCUUUCUCUCUUUUUCCCUUCCUCCCUUCAUUCCAGGCUACAUAGUUGACUAUUGUGACGUAUAGGAGAGAGAAACAGAAGGUGCAGAUGGGGGAGGAAGGGCCCAAUAUCAGCCACACUGUGUAAAUGAGAAAUAGCGCUUUGUCCAGAGUAGAUUCUGAGUAUUUGCUAAUGAAUGAAUGCAUGCAUGCAUGCAGUAGGCAGUUAAGAUCCAGGACUGGAAGUUAGAGACUCAGAAUGGGUAAGGUCAUAGGUUUGUGUACAGUGACUUAGUACGGAAAUGCUUUCAGGGUGAUUGGUAAUUAGGAAGCCAGGUGAGGGUGUGAUUUCAGGCAAUAUCUCACCAAGGGCAGCUUGAACUCGACUGCACACAGGGACUCUAAAGUAUACCUUAUACUUACGAAGUAACCUGACCUAAGUCAUUUGAUGAAUGCAUUGCAAUGUGUGUGCAUUAUAAAAUAUAAAAUAUCUGGGGUGCCUGGGUGGCUCAGUGGGUUAAGCCUCUGACUUCAGCUCAGGCCAUGAUCUCACGGUUUGUGGGUUCAAGCCCUGAGUUGGGCUCUGUGCUGACAGCUCAGAGCCUGGAGCCUGCUUCGGAUUCUGUGUCCCCCUCUCUCUCUGUUCCUCCCCUGCUCAUGCUCUGUCAC
This is a long non-coding RNA of Acinonyx jubatus (cheetah), 3553 nucleotides long. RefSeq lists it as uncharacterized. The transcript has 6 exons. Lineage: Eukaryota; Metazoa; Chordata; Mammalia; Carnivora; Felidae. The record is from RefSeq and is a predicted model, not a curated record.